This 506-nucleotide ribosomal RNA is filed under the name uncultured organism. Its description in RNAcentral is "bacterial SSU rRNA". It matches the Rfam family "Bacterial small subunit ribosomal RNA", at positions 939 to 1455 of the family's 1533-position model. The record is from RNAcentral.
GUGUGGUUUUAUUGGAUGAUACGCGAAGUACCUUACCUGGGUUUGACACGUAGGUAGUAGCAAAGCGUAAGCGGCGCGACCCUUCGGGGAGCGUACACAGGUGCUGCAUGGCCGUCGUCAGCUCCUAUCGUGACGAUGACGCGGCUAAGUCCCGCAACGAGCGCAACCCUUGUCGUUAGUUAUGUGUGUCUAGCGAGACUGCCGGUUUCAAACCGGAGGAAGGUGGGGAUGACGUCAAGUCAGCAUGGUCUUUAUGUCCAGGGCUACACACACGCGACAAUGGUCGGUACAGUGGGUUGCCACACCGCGAGGUGGAGCUAAUCCUCAAAGCCGGCCUCAGUUCGGAUUGCAGUCUGCAACUCGACUGCAUGAAGUCGGAGUUGCUAGUAACCGCGCGUCAGCAAUAGUCCGGUGUAUGCGUUCCCGGGCCUUGUACACACCGCCCGUCACAUCAUGGAAGUCGGUUACACUCUGAAGUCGGUGACCCCACCGUAAGGAGGGAACUG